GACGAACGCUGGCGGCGUGCUUAACACAUGCAAGUCGAACGGCAAGGCACUGCUUUUGUGGGGUGCUCGAGUGGCGAACGGGUGCGUAACACGUGAGUAACCUGCCCUUGACUUUGGGAUGACUUCAGGAAACUGGGGCUAAUCCCGGAUAGGAGCCCCUGUUGCAUGGUGGGGGGUGGAACGUUUCGGCGGUCGGGGAUGGACGCGCGGCUUAUCAGCUUGUUGGUGGGGUAGUGGCUUACCAAGGCUUUGACGGGUCGCCGGCCUGAGUGGGUGACCGGCCACAUUGGGACUGAGGUACGGCCCAGACGCCUACGGGAGGCGGCAGGGGGGAAUAUUGCACAGUGGGCGGGAGCCUGAUGCAGCAACGCCGCGUGCGGGAUGACGGCCUGCGGGUUGUAAACCGCUUCCGCCUGUGACGAAGCGUGAGUGACGGUAAUGGGUAAAGAAGCACCGGCUAACUACGUG
This 468-nucleotide ribosomal RNA is filed under the name uncultured bacterium. RNAcentral describes it as "partial 16S ribosomal RNA". It matches the Rfam family "Bacterial small subunit ribosomal RNA", at positions 28 to 507 of the family's 1533-position model. The record is from RNAcentral.